RNAcentral lists this long non-coding RNA (1022 nucleotides) under Mytilus galloprovincialis (Mediterranean mussel). The record is from RNAcentral. Lineage: Eukaryota; Metazoa; Mollusca; Bivalvia; Mytilida; Mytilidae.
CCGCGACCAGUUGAUUUUGUUCAGUUAGGAUAUAAGGUUGUUCAGAUUAAUAAAGCCUUAAUUGGUAUUUGUAAAGAUGAGAAAAUAAGUUUCAUUAAGUCUUAUAGAAGAUUUUUAUUUAAGGGCUCUCCUAAAAGAGAUUUAUUUGCAAUUAAAGAUGGAGGUUUGCAUUUAAAUGAAGCUGGAGUUGCCCAGCUUAAGAUGUGUUUUAUUCAUGUCAUUUCACAUUUGUAAAUUGUAUAUGUUUAAUUAUGUAGUUGUAAUUUAUAGUAUGUUAAUUCUGAUUUGUUCAUAUUUUGUAGAUAACCAUUCUAGUAUGUGGCUUACAAUGAAGUUCUUUAUUCGUUGAGUCAGAAGAUUUUCAAAGAAGUAACAUAUUCUUUGGAUCUUCAGUAGGAGAUUUACAAGAAAGUAUCGUUUUGAUUUCUUGAGUCUCGUCAGGCUUACACAAGUGUAUAUCAGUUUGUGGGUCUGAGUUAUUGCUAUUCUAAGAGUGUUUUGUUUUGUUUUAAGAAUAUAGUUUUCUUUUUUUUUUUAUAAUUUAUUUUUCUUUUUUUUUUUUUGUCUUUUGCGGGCUUGUUUGGCGGUUUAUUUUUGUAGGGCCCGCAAUUGUGUAUACUCUAUGUCAUGUAUGUGUAUAAAUUAUUUGUUAAAUGAACUUGUACAAUAAUUUUCGGCCAAAAUAAAAGUUUUAUUUAUCUUGUUUUAUAUUCUGAGCCAAAGAUAAUUGUAUAGUUUUUAAUUCUAAAAACGCAUAAUUAUAUGCGAAGUUCGUUUUCUUCGACAUUUCGUAAUUCUCUACUAUCUAUCGUAUAUGUUCAGUGAGUACUUCUUAGUAACUUUGUAAUCAUUAUUAGAUAUAUUUUCGAUUAGUUACCCUCCCACCCAUCCCUAAUGUUUAAUUAUUGUACUUGUGAGUUUAAUAUUGACAGAUUUAAUUUGUGCGGUUUAUUUUUGUAGGGCCCGCAAUUGUGUAUACUCUAUGUCAUGUAUGUGUAUAAAUUAUUUGUUAAAUGAACUUA